UGUGGGGAUAGCUUAGUUUGGAGAGGUCAGACUAAAGAUCUGAAGGCCACGUGUUCGAUCCACGCUCACCGCAU
RNAcentral lists this transfer RNA (74 nucleotides) under subsurface metagenome. Its description in RNAcentral is "tRNA-Phe". It matches the Rfam family "tRNA". From Rfam's summary of the family: Transfer RNA (tRNA) molecules are approximately 80 nucleotides in length. Their secondary structure includes four short double-helical elements and three loops (D, anti-codon, and T loops). Further hydrogen bonds mediate the characteristic L-shaped molecular structure. tRNAs have two regions of fundamental functional importance: the anti-codon, which is responsible for specific mRNA codon recognition, and the 3' end, to which the tRNAs corresponding amino acid is attached (by aminoacyl-tRNA synthetases). tRNAs cope with the degeneracy of the genetic code in two manners: having more than one tRNA (with a specific anti-codon) for a particular amino acid; and 'wobble' base-pairing, i.e. permitting non-standard base-pairing at the 3rd anti-codon position. The record is from RNAcentral.